Molecule: ribosomal RNA, 449 nt
Filed under: uncultured organism
Description: partial 16S ribosomal RNA
Rfam family: Bacterial small subunit ribosomal RNA
Source: RNAcentral
UACACUCCUGCGGGAGGCAGCAGUGGGGAAUAUUGGACAAUGGGCGAAAGCCUGAUCCAGCAAUGCCGCGUGAGUGAUGAAGGCCUUAGGGUUGUAAAGCUCUUUUACCCGGGAUGAUAAUGACAGUACCGGGAGAAUAAGCCCCGGCUAACUCCGUGCCAGCAGCCGCGGUAAUACGGAGGGGGCUAGCGUUGUUCGGAAUUACUGGGCGUAAAGCGCGCGUAGGCGGCUUUGUAAGUUAGAGGUGAAAGCCCGGAGCUCAACUUCGGAAUUGCCUUUAAGACUGCAUCGCUAGAAUCGUGGAGAGGUGAGUGGAAUUCCGAGUGUAGAGGUGAAAUUCGUAGAUAUUCGGAAGAACACCAGUGGCGAAGGCGACUCACUGGACACGUAUUGACGCUGAGGUGCGAAAGCGUGGGGAGCAAACAGGAUUAGAAACCCCGGUAGUCCCA